GAAAUGCGAUAAGUAAUGUGAAUUGCAGAAUUCAGUGAAUCAUCGAAUCUUUGAACGCACCUUGCACUCCUUGGUAUUCCGAGGAGUAUGCCUGUUUGAGUGUCAUUAAAUCAUCAAUCUAACUUCACUUUGUGAAGUUGGCUUGGAUUUGGAGACUGUUGGACCUUGCUCGAGGUUCGACUUCUCUUGAAUGUAUUAGUUGGAUUGAAAUGCAACGUUACGUGUGGUGUGAUAAUAUCUUCACUGCAUAGUUGCAAUGAAGUCUGGCUUCUAACAGUCCUUUACUGGACAAUCUUUGACCAUUUGACCUCAAAUCAGGUAGGACUACCCGCUGAACUUAA
RNAcentral lists this unclassified non-coding RNA (341 nucleotides) under uncultured Agaricomycetes. RNAcentral's name for it is "sequence contains ITS1". The stretch from base 1 to 105 matches the Rfam family "5.8S ribosomal RNA", at positions 50 to 154 of the family's 154-position model. Lineage: Eukaryota; Fungi; Basidiomycota; Agaricomycetes. The record is from RNAcentral.